RNAcentral lists this ribosomal RNA (439 nucleotides) under uncultured bacterium. RNAcentral's name for it is "bacterial SSU rRNA". It matches the Rfam family "Bacterial small subunit ribosomal RNA", at positions 340 to 793 of the family's 1533-position model. The record is from RNAcentral.
UACGGGAGGCAGCAGUGGGAAUCGUUGGACAAGUGGCGCAAGCCUGAUCCAGCCAUGCCGCGUGAGUGAUGAAGGCCCUAGGGUCGUAAAGCUCUUUCGCCAGAGAUGAUAAUGACAGUAUCUGGUAAACGAAACCCCGGCUAAACUCCGUGCCAGCAGCCGCGGUAAUACGGAGGGGUUAGCGUUGUUCGGAAUUACUGGGCGUAAAGCGUACGUAGGCGGAUUAGUUAGUCAGAGGUGAAAUCCCAGGGCUCAACCCUGGAACUGCCUUUGAUACUGCUAGUCUUGAGUUCGAGAGAGGUGAGUGGAAUUCCGAGUGUAGAGGUAGAAAUUCGUAGAUAUUCGGAGGAACACCAGUGGCGAAGGCGGCUCACUGGCUCGAUACUGACGCUGAGGUAACGAAAGUGUGGGGAGCAAACAGGAUUAGAUACCCUGGUAG